RNAcentral lists this ribosomal RNA (510 nucleotides) under Pinnularia borealis complex sp. RNAcentral's name for it is "partial 28S ribosomal RNA". The record is from RNAcentral. Lineage: Eukaryota; Bacillariophyta; Bacillariophyceae; Sellaphorales; Pinnulariaceae.
GAGAGGGUGAAACUCCCGUGUGACUGGACUGACGAAGCAAGCACUACUGAGUCGAGUUGUUUGGGAUUGCAGCUCAAAUACGGUGGUAAAUUUCAUCUCAAGCUAAAUACUAAAAGGAGACCGAUAGCGCACAAGUACCGUGAGGGAAAGAUGACAAGAACUUUGAAAAGAGAGUGAAAGAGUACCUGAAAUUGCUGAAAAGGAAGCGAACGAACCUAGUGAAAGCAAUGUCAUACUUUCCAACUUGCUCGCAACUUGGACGCUGUGGCUUGCCAWGUUCCACUGCAUCGCAGCCUGCAGYGCAAGCAGGUGGAGAACAGUUUUGUUGUUCCACUCCCGCACUGCCUGCAAUGCAGCRGAACGAAAUAGAUUUGUUUGUCCCGUCUAGAAACACGGACCAAGGAGUCUAACAUAUGUGCGAGUACAAAGGCAGCAUGCCUUGGUGCGCAAUGAAAGUGUCAGAGGCUGGAAUGCUGUUACAAGCAGUGCACAGUCCGCCGGCCCCCAUCC